Molecule: transfer RNA, 72 nt
Filed under: Ovis aries (sheep)
Lineage: Eukaryota; Metazoa; Chordata; Mammalia; Artiodactyla; Bovidae
Rfam family: tRNA
About the family: Transfer RNA (tRNA) molecules are approximately 80 nucleotides in length. Their secondary structure includes four short double-helical elements and three loops (D, anti-codon, and T loops).
Source: Rfam by way of RNAcentral
UUCCUGGUGGUCCAGUGGGUAAGACUCCGUGCUCCUAAUGCAGGGGCCUGGGUUCAAUCCCUGGUCAGGGAA